AACGCGUGGGAAUAUGCCCUUCUCUAAGGAAUAGCCUCUGGAAACGGAGAGUAAUACCUUAUACGCCCUUCGGGGGAAAGAUUUAUCGGAGAAGGAUUAGCCCGCGUUAGAUUAGGUAGUUGGUGGGGUAAUAGCCUACCAAGCCUACGAUCUAUAGCUGGUUUGAGAGGAUGAUCAGCCACACUGGGACUGAGACACGGCCCAGACUCCUACGGGAGGCAGCAGUAGGGAAUCUUAGACAAUGGGGGAAACCCUGAUCUAGCCAUGCCGCGUGUGUGAUGAAGGCCCUAGGGUCGUAAAGCACUUUCGCCAGAGAUGAUAAUGACAGUAUCUGGUAAAGAAACCCCGGCUAACUCCGUGCCAGCAGCCGCGGUAAUACGGAGGGGGUUAGCGUUGUUCGGAAUUACUGGGCGUAAAGCGCACGUAGGCGGAUUAGUAAGUUAGAGGUGGAAUCCCAGGGCUCAACCCUGGAACUGCCUUUAAUACUGCUAGUCUUGAGUUCGAGAGAGGUAAGUGGAAUUCCGAGUGUAGAGGUGAAAUUCGUAGAUAUUCGGAGGAACACCAGUG
RNAcentral lists this ribosomal RNA (567 nucleotides) under uncultured bacterium. Its description in RNAcentral is "bacterial SSU rRNA". It matches the Rfam family "Bacterial small subunit ribosomal RNA", at positions 112 to 714 of the family's 1533-position model. The record is from RNAcentral.